GACGAACGCUGGCGGCGUGCUUAACACAUGCAAGUCGAACGGUAAGGCUCCAGCUUGCUGGGGUACACGAGUGGCGAACGGGUGAGUAACACGUGGGUGACCUGCCCUGCACUUCGGGAUAGGCCUGGGAAACUGGGUCUAAUACCGGAUAGGACCGCACCGUGAGGGUGUGGUGGAAAGUUUUUUCGGUGUGGGAUGGGCCCGCGGCCUAUCAGCUUGUUGGUGGGGUAAUGGCCUACCAAGGCGGCGACGGGUAGCCGGCCUGAGAGGGUGGACGGCCACAUUGGGACUGAGACACGGCCCAGACUCCUACGGGAGGCAGCAGUGGGGAAUAUUGCACAAUGGGCGGAAGCCUGAUGCAGCGACGCCGCGUGGGGGAUGACGGCCUUCGGGUUGUAAACUCCUUUCACCAUCGACGAAGGGUUUCUGACGGUAGAUGGAGAAGAAGCACCGGCUAACUACGUGCCAGCAGCCGCGGUAAUACGUAGGGUGCGAGCGUUGUCCGGAAUUACUGGGCGUAAAGAGCUCGUAGGUGGUUUGUCGCGUCGUCUGUGAAAUUCCGGGGCUUAACUCCGGGCGUGCAGGCGAUACGGGCAUAACUUGAGUACUGUAGGGGAGACUGGAAUUCCUGGUGUAGCGGUGAAAUGCGCAGAUAUCAGGAGGAACACCGGUGGCGAAGGCGGGUCUCUGGGCAGUAACUGACGCUGAGGAGCGAAAGCAUGGGGAGCGAACAGGAUUAGAUACCCUGGUAGUCCAUGCCGUAAACGGUGGGCGCUAGGUGUGGGUUUCCUUCCACGGGAUCCGUGCCGUAGCUAACGCAUUAAGCGCCCCGCCUGGGGAGUACGGCCGCAAGGCUAAAACUCAAAGGAAUUGACGGGGGCCCGCACAAGCGGCGGAGCAUGUGGAUUAAUUCGAUGCAACGCGAAGAACCUUACCUGGGCUUGACAUAUACAGGAUCGCGCCAGAGAUGGUGUUUCCCUUGUGGCUUGUAUACAGGUGGUGCAUGGUUGUCGUCAGCUCGUGUCGUGAGAUGUUGGGUUAAGUCCCGCAACGAGCGCAACCCUUGUCUUAUGUUGCCAGCACGUUGUGGUGGGGACUCGUAAGAAACUGCCGGGGUUAACUCGGAGGAAGGUGGGGAUGACGUCAAAUCAUCAUGCCCCUUAUGUCCAGGGCUUCACACAUGCUACAAUGGUCGGUACAGUGGGUUGCCAGUCCGUGAGGGCGAGCUAAUCCCGCAAAGCCGGUCUCAGUUCGGAUCGGGGUCUGCAACUCGACCCCGUGAAGUCGGAGUCGCUAGUAAUCGCAGAUCAGCAACGCUGCGGUGAAUACGUUCCCGGGCCU
Molecule: ribosomal RNA, 1341 nt
Filed under: uncultured bacterium
Lineage: Bacteria
Description: partial 16S ribosomal RNA
Rfam family: Bacterial small subunit ribosomal RNA
Source: RNAcentral